RNAcentral lists this ribosomal RNA (430 nucleotides) under uncultured bacterium. RNAcentral describes it as "partial 16S ribosomal RNA". It matches the Rfam family "Bacterial small subunit ribosomal RNA", at positions 354 to 796 of the family's 1533-position model. The record is from RNAcentral.
GUGGGGAAUAUUGCACAAUGGGCGCAAGCCUGAUGCAGCAACGCCGCGUGAGGGAUGACGGCCUUCGGGUUGUAAACCUCUUUUAGUAGGGAAGAAGCGUAAGUGACGGUACCUGCAGAAAAAGCACCGGCUAACUACGUGCCAGCAGCCGCGGUAAUACGUAGGGUGCAAGCGUUGUCCGGAAUUAUUGGGCGUAAAGAGCUCGUAGGCGGCUUGUCGCGUCUGCCGUGAAAACCCAGGGCUCAACUCUGGGCGUGCGGUGGGUACGGGCAGGCUAGAGUGCGGUAGGGGAGAUUGGAAUUCCUGGUGUAGCGGUGGAAUGCGCAGAUAUCAGGAGGAACACCGAUGGCGAAGGCAGAUCUCUGGGCCGUAACUGACGCUGAGGAGCGAAAGCAUGGGGAGCGAACAGGAUUAGAAACCCUAGUAGUCC